GGGUAGUUCAGUGGCAGAGUGCUUGCCUAGCAUGUAUGAGACACUGGGUUCAAGUCUCAGCACCA
This 65-nucleotide transfer RNA is filed under the name Marmota monax (woodchuck). RNAcentral describes it as "tRNA.Ala". Lineage: Eukaryota; Metazoa; Chordata; Mammalia; Rodentia; Sciuridae. The record is from RNAcentral.